AGGACGAACGCUGGCGGCGUGCUUAACACAUGCAAGUCGAGCGGAAAGGCCCUUCGGGGUACUCGAGCGGCGAACGGGUGAGUAACACGUGAGCAACCUGCCCCUGGCUCUGGGAUAGCCUCCGGAAACGGGGAUUAAUACCGGAUAUUCACUGCUUCCUGCAUGGGGGGUGGAUGGAAAGUUUUCGGCUAGGGCGGGGCUCGCGGCCUAUCAGCUUGUUGGGGGGGUGGACGGCCCACCAAGGCGACGACGGGUA
This 256-nucleotide ribosomal RNA is filed under the name uncultured bacterium. RNAcentral's name for it is "partial small subunit ribosomal RNA". It matches the Rfam family "Bacterial small subunit ribosomal RNA", at positions 26 to 285 of the family's 1533-position model. The record is from RNAcentral.